RNAcentral lists this non-coding RNA (26 nucleotides) under Cricetulus griseus (Chinese hamster). Lineage: Eukaryota; Metazoa; Chordata; Mammalia; Rodentia; Cricetidae. The record is from RNAcentral.
UUUAAACGAAGGAAAAUGUGCUACAA